UUUAUCUAUGCUUGAUAUUUGGAAAAACUGCAAUAACUGUUGAAUAUUGAACCCUAGGCUAGAAAACAUGUUAUAUCUGCCUGGGAAAGUUUUCUGGUUGUUUUGCAGGUGAGGGUUUGGGUGCAUUGCAUUCUCCCUUCACACACACACAUAUUAUGCAUCUAUUGAGUGAGGCCCUAUACCCGGGUUUGAGCGCAACUUAGAAUUAGAGGAGUUGUGUAGCGGUGUCACUCUGGGAUGUACUUCCUGUUUGGCUAUCGUGAGAACUCCAGCUAGAGUCUGUUCUCUUCAUUUGUGUCUCCUCAUCUAGUUGAUUACUCGACUGUUGUGAAAAUGCUAUGAAGGGGGCCAUAGCUCUAGUGACCUUUGAUCCUUAGGCUCAGGGAACUAUCCUGGUGAGAUUGCAUAUACUUGACCUUAAAUCUAAAAUGUUGAAUCUUCACUAGGGCAUAAAGGGAGAUGUGUGUAUCCUUGUAACCCUCACUUUUGUUUAAUAAAAUCAAGCACCUUGUACAUAUCACUACAUUAUUUUUCCUUCUUUCUUUGUUGCUCAU
RNAcentral lists this long non-coding RNA (554 nucleotides) under Vigna radiata. RNAcentral's name for it is "long non-coding RNA (VRAD_LNC014416)". Lineage: Eukaryota; Viridiplantae; Streptophyta; Magnoliopsida; Fabales; Fabaceae. The record is from RNAcentral.